AGGGUUAUAGUUAAUCAUAACAUCUGAAUUGCACUCAGAAAGUACUAAACUUUAGUUAACCUUA
Molecule: transfer RNA, 64 nt
Filed under: Deflorita sp. ZJZ-2017
Lineage: Eukaryota; Metazoa; Arthropoda; Insecta; Orthoptera; Tettigoniidae
Description: tRNA-Ala
Source: RNAcentral